RNAcentral lists this ribosomal RNA (436 nucleotides) under uncultured bacterium. Its description in RNAcentral is "bacterial SSU rRNA". It matches the Rfam family "Bacterial small subunit ribosomal RNA", at positions 340 to 766 of the family's 1533-position model. The record is from RNAcentral.
UACGGAAGGCAGCAGUGGGGAAUAUUGCACAAUGGGCGAAAGCCUGAUGCAGCUAUGCCGCGUGUAUGAAGAAGGCCUUAGGGUUGUAAAGUACUUUCAUCGGGGAGGAAAAAACAAAACUAAUAAUUUUAUUUCUUGACGUUACCCGAAAAAGAAGCACCGGCUAACUCCGUGCCAGCAGCCGCGGUAAUACGGAGGGUGCUAGCGUUAAUCAGAAUUACUGGGCGUAAAGAGCACGUAGGUGGUUUUUUUAAAGUCAGAUGUGAAAUCCCUGGGCUUUAACCUAGGAACUGCAUUUUGAAACUGAAAUACUAGAGUAUCGUAGAGGGAGGUAGAAUUCUAGGUGUAGCGGUGAAAUGCGUAGAUAUCUGGAGGAAUACCUGUGGUCGGAACGACGGCCGUCCUAACCGAAACGUAACUCGUACGACUCGAGGGU